Molecule: long non-coding RNA, 2121 nt
Filed under: Mus musculus (house mouse)
Lineage: Eukaryota; Metazoa; Chordata; Mammalia; Rodentia; Muridae
Description: RIKEN cDNA 6530403H02 gene
Source: RNAcentral
GGAGAGACACGCAAGCUGCAAAGGGAAGCAGAGUCAAAUUAAAGCCUCCCAACCACGGCUCGUGGUGCUGCGGAUGGGGCGUCCCUCCCUCCCUCCCUCGGCUUGAUGAAGGUGGGUGUGAGAUCCCACAGGACUGUCUGGAAGAGAGCCCGUGGAAGUCACUGUAUUUUGCAGAAGCUGGAGGCGAAGCAGAAGGUUUCUUCCUAAGCUGAGUGAAUCUGGACACUUUCUAACUUGGAACAAAUCACACAGACAAAAUGAAGAUAAAAUGCCCCCAUCCAGGUUGCAGCCUGACACUUCUGCCUCUUUUCCCUCUGGGUAUAUCUUACUGGGUCUUUGCAGGUCAUGGCUGGACUGUUGUGGUGGGGUAACUGAAACAAACCGAAGAGACUGAUGGAAAAAAAAUCAAAAAGCAAGGGCGGAAUUUCAAAGCCUGGAUCAUAGAAGAAGGAAUGCUGCAUGACAAAUUCAUCAUAUCUGGUUUUAUGUGGCGGUCCUUGAUCCACUUGGACUUGAACUUUGUACAAGGAUGGGUCAAUUUGGCACCCAGGAGCUGGGGCCAUUCCACAGCCCUUUGUACAUGGGUCCUGUCGGGGAAGAACUGGUUUCUGGGGAGUGAUCUGAUUCCCAGGCUCAGAGCUAAUUGGAUGUGGUUUAAGAAAUCAUUUCACAAGAAUACCGAUUUAAAAAAACAACAACAACAUACUAAAAUGGACCAAUAAACCAGACCAGAGACACGUCUGUCACUGUCAGACGAUUGCCCUGCCACUACACCUAUUUGUUCCCUGAGACUCUUGUGGAUUUCCAGAUUUUCUUGUGCUCGGUGGCUGCAUCUGCAGCCCUUCAUUCAGCAACAAAGCAGGAGCAGGGUGCAGAGCUGUGUUGUGCUGAAAAAAACAAAAGAUAUCCCGGUGAAAAUGUUAAAUUACAUAAUAUUUCUUCAGACGACAGGUAAAGGAUAUGAAUGCAUAUAAUGAACAGAUCUGAGACAGAUAUUAAUCCCCCUUGUAGCAUAAUGAAGAUUUAAAGAAAAACAAACAGUCCAUGAAGCAUCAUCUUCCUCCCUCUCACCUCCCUGAGUCCCACCAGCGUACCCUGGAUCCCUGGAUAUGCCACAUGUGACAUGUAUAUAAUUUUGGAACAGCAGUAGCUACUAGAACCCACUCAACUCUUUGUCUGUAUAUCUAUCUAUAUCUCUACAUAUGUAAUAUAUAUAUUGCAAAUAUCAUAGCACUUAAAUCUUCAAACAUUUCCUCCUCCAGACAGCUUGAGAUUCUUGUGCACAGGUGCACACUCAUGCAGACACACACAUUUCCAUGUAUUGAACACACACACACACACACACACACACACACACACACACACACACUCACAAUCACUCACACACACAGGCUAUUUCAGAGAGUGUUUCCCUCUUAUUAUUGGGAUAGAUAAGCUACAGGCAAUUUCCUUCCCAUUGUGGCAUCCACAGGUACAUUUUUGGAAGGUUCUAGUGAUACUUGAAAGAUGUCCUGUGUUAAGGGACAAAAAGAAUGUGGCAGAGAGGGGAGUAGGAAGAAGACAGACAGGGAGGGAGGGGAGAGAGGGAGCAAGGGAAGACAAGAAAGGAAAGGACAGACCGAAGGAAGAAUGCCCAGCAGCCUUUGCGGUACUGAAGCAUGCUUUGCUCUGGAAAGGUCCUGAGGGCACGAGUGUACGAUUGCUCGCCUUUCAAUCUUCUAUUUGUGAGAACAUCUUUGCAUUGAUCUCUGUCUGUAUGUCCUGGCGGCGUGCCGUGUUAAUUUGUUUUUGAGAUAUAGAUCCCAUAGUGUUAUCAACACUUGCGCUUCGCAUUAAGAGUCUUCGUACUGCUGUUUCGACUUCGUUGGCGGCAGACUCACACCUGCUACUGUAGAUGGAAUUCCAGAUACAUCCAAACAAACAAAUGAGACAUGAAAAGUAUUUCCAAUGAUGUUGACUUCACAGGGGAGAUAUGUUUUGUUCUGACAUGUAUGGAUGCUUCAGAUAUACUGACAAGUUCAUGGACCCUUAAAGCUAUUUAUCAUGCUCAAAAGAAAGUAAGAUUUUCAUAUUUACAUGUAUUGCUAAAAUAAAAAAAAUUAAAGAAAAAUUUGAAAUUAA